CCUACGGGUGGCAGCAGUGGGGAAUAUUGGACAAUGGGGGAAACCCUGAUCCAGCGACGCCGCGUGAGUGAAGAAGUAUUUCGGUACGUAAAGCUCUAUCAGCAGGAAAGAAAAUGACGGUACCUGACUAAGAAGCCCCGGCUAACUACGUGCCAGCAGCCGCGGUAAUACGUAGGGGGCAAGCGUUAUCCGGAUUUACUGGGGGUAACGGGAGCGUAGACGGCAGCGCAAGUCUGGAGUGAAAUGUCGGGGCCCAACCCCGGAACUGCUCUGGAAACUGUGAAGCUGGAGUGCAGGAGAGGUAAGCGGAAUUCCGGGUGUAGCGGUGAAAUGCGUAGAUAUCAGGAGGAACACCGGCGGCGAAGGCGGCUUACUGGACUGUAACUGACGUUGAGGCUCGAAGGCGUGGGGAGCAAACAGGAUUAGAUACCCGGGUAGUC
Molecule: ribosomal RNA, 440 nt
Filed under: uncultured bacterium
Lineage: Bacteria
Description: partial 16S ribosomal RNA
Rfam family: Bacterial small subunit ribosomal RNA
Source: RNAcentral